AUUGAACGCUAGCGGGAUGCCUUACACAUGCAAGUAGAACGGAGUGGCGAACGGGUGAGGAAUGUAUCGGAACGUGCCCAGUAGCGGGGGAUAAAUACGCGAAAGCGGAGCUAAUACCGCAUACUAUUGGAGCGGCCGAUAUCGGAUUAGCUAGUGGGUGGGGUAACGGCGCACCAAGGCGACGAUCCGUAGGUGUGUUGAGAGGACGACCAGCGACGCGGGGAUCGGGCGACGGCCCCGACGCCUGCGCGAGGCAGCCGUGGGGGAUUUUGGACUAUGGGGGAAACCCUGAUCCAGCCCUCCCGCGUGUGCGAUGAAGGCCUUCGGGUUGUAAAGCACUUUUUGCAGGAAAGCGGUACCUGCAGAAUAAGGACCGGCUAACUACGUGCCAGCAGCCGCGGUAAUUC
This 407-nucleotide ribosomal RNA is filed under the name uncultured bacterium. RNAcentral's name for it is "partial 16S ribosomal RNA". It matches the Rfam family "Bacterial small subunit ribosomal RNA", at positions 29 to 526 of the family's 1533-position model. The record is from RNAcentral.